GGGAUUCCAUAUGGACAAAACAAAUCUUCUCCUGCUGCUGCUGUUAGAAUAUAUAUUUCAGGUUUCAAAGAGUCUAGAUUGUGACCAAGUGAAAAAAUCCACUAGAGCAGUUUCGGUGGCGUGGUCUGAGUUCCCCAAAGGAGAAAAACCAGAUUUUUAUGUUGUAACAUAUAAGCUUACAGAUGACUUCCAUGAAAAAAUUGUAGAAAACAUUUCUUCAGUUGUGCUAAAUCCUCUGAAUUCCAUAAUUCUGCUAGAAGAAGGAAAGAAAUAUG
This 275-nucleotide long non-coding RNA is filed under the name Chrysemys picta bellii (western painted turtle). RNAcentral describes it as "lncRNA (ENSCPBG00000000064.1)". The record is from RNAcentral. Lineage: Eukaryota; Metazoa; Chordata; Testudines; Emydidae.